GUUUCUUCAGGACCUUGGCUGAGACGGACAGAGGUAGGGCUAGAUGCGGAGAGGACGGCCCAAACGACUAACAGCCCCUUCCAAAUUCGGUUCAAGUCACCAUCUGGAAAUUUUGAGAGAAAUUCUAGGACAAGGAGAGAAGAGAUGUGGAUCUUCUCGGGAGAAGGGACAGAGACAAGGCUGCAGCUACAGAACACAGAGGAGAUGGAGAGAAGGUGAGACUUGGGAGGAAAAAGAGCUCCUAUUCCCAGCAACUGUCAGGGUAGAAUCCCAGAGAGAGAUCUGUCGCCCCAGAUCUGCUGCUUUGGAGACAUCCAAAAAUGAAAAGGCAAAAGAACUGGCUUGUCCUCACCUUGUCCACAGUAAGGCUUUCCUGGCACGACAGGUGCGCACAGCAGUCCGACGCCUGGCCUUUUCUGAUGACGUAGUGGAUGCUGGGACUCCGGUUCAGCUGGCUUCUUGAUAGUCCUGUUGAUUUCAUAACCGGACCGGGAGAUCUCCGCCUCCAGCCCCUGGAGUUAUUUGGGUAUCUCACUUCCUUUUGCUCUGGUUGGGUCAGGCCAGGUGGACCACCAUGUUCAAGUGGCCUCUGUCCCCAUCCCCUGGCUCUUGUCUUCACUGCUGAGACCCAUCUGUCAGAUUCAUCUUCAUCUUGGCAACCCAAGAUUUCCCAGUGCGUGUAAACACAUGUACCCGGGUCAGGUACAUGCGGCCUGAGACUCUGUGUUCCUUUUUAGCCCAUGGAGGGUUGGUAGAAAAAUUUAUAAUAUUCUAACUUGAGUUACACUUGUGUGGGGGAAGCUAUAUUCCCACAGUACACACAAAUAUAAGUGAAAGGAAAAAAAAAAAAACGCCAACAAAAACCAAAAUGGAAAACUCUUCUUUUGCUUCGUUUAUACUGUUUUGAUGGUUGUCUCUAUAGGAGUUCUGUCAGACUCUGCCUGUGCAGCUAGGAAGGGUAUUCUGAAUUCAUCAUUUUCUCUGUAUAAUGCUACUUUAAAGUCAGACAAAACACAAGAGGGAGGGACAGCCAGGUCCUACACAAGGCAGAAAGGGCCUUUGGUUACAAGAAAAGUCGCACCAAGUGGUUCUUAAAAAAGAAAGCAAUCAUUUCUACACUGUACACCCGCCGUCGGCUUAACCAACCAAUGAAAUGCCUUGGUUUAAAGAAGGGGGGCGGUAACUUCCUUCUGGCUAUUUAUGGCUAUGUUAAGACGUGUUUACUUCCUGAUAUGUAAAAUAGACUAUAUCAUCAGUAGGAGGUUUUUUUUUUUUUUUUUACAGAUAGCUCUAAAAAUAUCUGAAUCGGAAAUCACAACUAUUUACUUUUUAUCAAAAAGCAUUUGUUUGUUUCCCUGAAUUUUCACAUUUGUGCUGAUGGGUGACUUAUGAGCAACACAAAAGACAGACAUGGAAGAUGGUCAGCAGAAAGGUCCCACGAUCACCAAUCACCGGUCACACAC
This 1463-nucleotide long non-coding RNA is filed under the name Mus spicilegus (steppe mouse). RNAcentral's name for it is "lncRNA (ENSMSIG00000031339.1)". The record is from RNAcentral. Lineage: Eukaryota; Metazoa; Chordata; Mammalia; Rodentia; Muridae.